UGCGGAGGAUCCGAGCGUUAUCCGGAUUUAUUGGGUUUAAAGGGUGCGCAGGCGGGGGAUUAAGUCGGCGGUGAAAUUUUGCAGCUCAACUGUAAAAGUGCCUUCGAAACUGGUUUCCUUGAGUGUAGAUGAAGUAGGCGGAAUUUGUGGUGUAGCGGUGAAAUGCAUAGAUAUCACGAGGAACUCCGAUUGCGCAGGCAGCUUACUAAACUACUACUGACGCUCAUGCACGAAGGCGUGGGGAUCAAACAGGAUUAGAUACCCU
This 265-nucleotide ribosomal RNA is filed under the name uncultured prokaryote. RNAcentral describes it as "partial 16S ribosomal RNA". It matches the Rfam family "Bacterial small subunit ribosomal RNA", at positions 524 to 788 of the family's 1533-position model. The record is from RNAcentral.